Non-coding RNA from Pimephales promelas (fathead minnow), 4354 nucleotides. NCBI's taxonomy places the organism in Eukaryota, Metazoa, Chordata, Actinopteri, Cypriniformes, Leuciscidae. The record is from RefSeq and is a predicted model, not a curated record.
AUGACAGAAACCGAAGCGCAGUUUUCAUCCGCUCCACUAGGCGGCGUGAGAGGGCUUCACUGUCAGAGCGACUCCUUUGCUGUUCUAGCCCCUACAAACCUGUACUUUUCCUGAGGUGAGCUCAGACUUCAUGCAUGUGUCAUGGACCGCACCUUCUGUUCAGCCAUCCGAAAUUAGUCGUUUUGUCAUCCGCUACCAUCCCACAAAACAACGACGAUGACACUCAGGAAGUCAACGUAGGAGGUGGCACCAAUAGCUUCAUCCUUCAGAACUUGCUGCCAAACACAGAGUAUCUGGUUAAAGUAGUGUGCGUCUAUGAUGACAAAGAGAGUGAGCCUGUAACUGGUAUUCAGAAAACAAAACUGGAUUCCCCGACAAAUCUGGACUUCUCUGAUGUUUCCACCAACUCAUUUACCGUGCACUGGAUGGCCCCACGUGCCGUCAUUACAGGUUACCGCCUACGCUAUCAGCCAACAAGGAAUGGCCGCCCUAAAAUUGAGAGACUUUCCCCGACAAGAAAUUACUUCACUCUUGGGAACCUAGCCCCUGAGACAGAGUACAAUGUCUUAUUUUAUGCUGUCAGCGCAAUACAGAGAGUCUACCACUUACUGGAACGCAAGCAACACUGGUGAGAAUCUCCGACGCUCCCACUGACCUGGCUGUGACGUCCUCCACUCCCACUAGCAUCACCAUCUCCUGGGAUGCCCAGCAGUCACUGUACGCUACUAUAAGAUCACACAUGGAGAAACAGGGGAAAGAGAUACACCCAGAGAGUUCACUGUUCCAGGAACACAGUCCACUGCUACCAUCCCUGGCCUGAAGCCGGACACCGAUUACACCAUCACGCUGUAUGCUGUGACAGGCCGAGGUGACAGCCCAGCCUCCAGCACACCAGUCAUCAUCACACACAGGACUGCAGGUGGAAGUGUUCCAUCCCCAUCGGAUUUAGAUGUUUCUGAUAUUCAAGACAAUACCUUGACCGUCCGAUGGAGCCCAGCUACAGGUCCCAUCACAGGGUAUAGAGUAACAGGGACGCCCAAGGGUGGGCAAGGUCCUACUUUCUCUGAGGUGGUCGGCCCUGAGCGUACUGAAAUGACAAUCAAUGGCUUGGUACCCACGGUGGAGUAUACAAUUAAUGUGGUUGCUAUCAGCCGGGAAGGAGAGAGCACCCCAGUGGUCCAGAAAGCUACAACAGCCAAUGUGCAGCAUCCAAGAGACCUGACCUUCUCUGAUGUGGACUCCACCUCCAUGCUUGUGACAUGGGAUGUUCCACGGGUUCCAGGAGUGACCUCCUAUAGGGUUCUGUACUCAAGUCCAGAGGAGGGAGAACGAGAGUACCAACCAGCCCUAAGUGGUCGUGAUAACAGUGUGGUUCUUCAGGGUCUGCGCCCAGGAACCAAGUACAAUGUUAAAGUCAUUCCCAUGAAAGGACGUUACCCAGUCCGUACCCUUGAGGGUAUUCAGCACACUACCCACGAGGAGACUCAGCCCACUGCUGUUCCUGCUCCGACCAAUAUCCAGUUCCACGAUAUCAGCCCAUCUUCCUUUAUUGUGGCAUGGCAGGCACCCAGGGGCAGACUUUCUGGCUACCGUGUGGUGGUCACCCCAAAGAACCAGUAUCCCACACCCAAAGAAAUGAAUGUUUCACCUGACUCUACACAAGUCUUAGUGCCCGGGCUUAUGGUGGCCACCCCUUAUGAUGUACAUGUCUAUGCACUGAGGGGUUCAGACAGUAGUCCUCCUCUCACUGGAGAAUGCACCACUGCAGACAAUAUAACCCCUCCUCGCAGAGUCCGUGUCACUGAUGUGAAAGACACCUCAUUCACUCUUACAUGGCGCAUUGUUAAUAAUGAGCCAAAUACAGGUUUCUAUAUUGAAGCCACACCCAAAAAUGGAGGAUACCCCACCGUCAGACAAACUGUUCCUGAAAACACACUAACCUACGUUGUCACUGGUUUGCAGCCAGGUGUCUUGUAUGUGGUCAACAUGUACACUCUGAAUGGAAAUAGUCGAUCCCCUCCAUUCACAUUGACUGUAACCACAGCUCGGCCAGCUGUUCAGCCUCCUACCGACCUUCAGUUCACCUCCCUGACCCCCAAUUCCAUCACAUUUACUUGGCAAGCCCCCCCAACACAAAUUACAGGAUAUUACAUCACUUAUGAAGAAUCAGGUGGUCAGCUUCGUGAGCUUCCACGUCUUAACGCUGGCCAGAACUAUGCCACCAUCACUGGUCUGAAACCAGGCACCGAAUACAUCAUUAAGAUCAUUGCCCUGAUGAAUACCCAGAGAAGUGCACCACUGGUUGGCACAGCCACAACUCAGCUGACUUCUGAUCUGCCUAGCCUGCCUCACCAUGGCGGCAUAGACAAGCUGGAUGUGCCUGAGCCUGACAACAGAGUUCACGUAGUGGGUCCCACUGGGCAUGAAUCACCUGAUGCACACGGGCAGCACGUGGAGUACACAGAAUUCAAUAAUCAGCCCAGUCAACCCAACAGAGGCUACCAGCCUCAACAUCGUCAACCUAACCAACCCCGACCCCAGCCUUAUGUGCCUCAAGUUGGGGAGACCCUAGUAUACAUCCCUAAGGUGGGACCCGAUGGGAGUCGUGUACCUCAGAUUAUUCAGGUUAAUGAGAAGCCUGGCGAUGGCCAUCCUUUUGUUUUUUCAGAGGACAGGACAGGAAGACCGCAAGAGGCCCAGACCCAGACCACCAUCUCAUGGCAGCCCUACCAGCAGAGUUCUGGUUAUCUGGUGUCUUGUCAGCCCAUUACCCAUCAAGAUGAGAAGUUGUUCCAGAUGCGUUUCCCGGAAACGUCCACAAGUGCCACCCUGAUUGGUCUCACCUCUGGUGCCUCUUAUAAUGUCAUAGUGGAGGCCUUGAAAGGAGCCCUCAAACACAAGAUUUUGGAGGAAAUCAUCACCGCUGGAAACACAGUACCAGGAGAUGUUUCAUCCAGCAAGGACUCAUGUUAUGACACCUUCACCGCCACUCACCAUGAUGUUGGAGAGGAAUGGGAGCGUAUGUCUGAGACUGGCUUCAAACUCUGGUGCAGAUGUCUUGGCCUGGGAAGUGGACAUUUCAGAUGUGACUCUUCCAAAUGGUGUCACGAUAGUGGAAACAACUACCGCAUUGGUGAAAAGUGGGAGCGACGGGCAGAAAACGGUCACUUGAUGAGCUGCUCUUGCCUUGGCAAUGGUAAAGGAGAGUUCAAGUGUGAACCACAUGAGUCCAUAUGUUACGAUGACGGAAAGAUGUACCAGGUUGGAAACCAAUGGCAGAAGGAAUACUUGGGGGCAAUCUGCACUUGCACAUGCUAUGGAGGACAGCAGGGUUGGCGCUGUGAGAAUUGCAGAAAGCCUGGUGCUGAGAUAACCUCCGAGCUGCUGAAACCUGUCCGCUUAAACAACGGCCACAGGAUGAACAUUCAAUGCCCAAUCGAAUGUCUCCGACCUGAGCUUCUUGCAGAUGCUGUGGCCAAUCCCAAAACCCAAGAGUGAAACCUUUCUGACAGAACUGCACCAUGACUUCCUGCCCCCAUUACGCAAUAUUUCACGUAGGACAUAAGAGAACUAAACACAUACUGCCUUUAAAGCCUCCUGUAUGUUACAUCUGUUCAGUUGCUGCUUUACACAAUGUCUGUUGUGAUGCAUUCAUUGAUUGGCUUUUACUUGUGUUUGCUAGUGUGGAUAAUACAAGUUAAUACAAAUUCCACUUUGUAGUCGGUUAAUACAGUCUACUUUAUACGAAAACUGCAAUGGGAAAGAACAGAUUUCUAAUUCAAUUAAAUUGACAAAAGACUAAAACAUUAUUUUUAAAGGAUUUUAGCCUUUAUGAAUUGAUAGGGCAAUUUACAAAAAAACAAACAAAAAAAAAAAAAAACUACCUUACUAGUAUUUUCAACCUUUAUUAAUUGAAAUGGGCAAAUGUGAGACAUACGGUAGUAGGAGAGAAAAGCACUGUUUUAUAAGAAUGUUAGAGCACCACUGGGGUACCAAAUACCAAGUCUAAAUUUGUUCAUCUUUUUCCCCCCCACAUGGCUCAUUGAUUAUUUAGAGUCAGCACUGUUUUUAGAUUGAUACUGUAUGUUAAUUUUUUUUUUACUAUCCCUUCACUUAGAAGUGUCUGCUUGUAUAGAAUGUUAUUUGUUGCAUUUGACUGUCAAUGUUAUACUGUCAACAGUAUUCGUUACUGUUAAAUACACUUUUUUUUUUGAUUUCACAAAACUCAAGACAAAAUGUAUUUAUAAAACUUCAAAUCAAAAUCUUUUGGAAUGCGAUUCUAAAAUAAACCUUGCAAAAACGAAACAUGUCAAUAAAUGCAAAUAAACUCUUGGAUGGAAUCUUUGAGAAACUA